RNAcentral lists this ribosomal RNA (500 nucleotides) under uncultured bacterium. RNAcentral describes it as "bacterial SSU rRNA". It matches the Rfam family "Bacterial small subunit ribosomal RNA", at positions 25 to 518 of the family's 1533-position model. The record is from RNAcentral.
CAGGAUGAACGCUAGCUACAGGCUUAACACAUGCAAGUCGAGGGGCAGCAUUGGAGUAGCAAUACUCAGAUGGCGACCGGCGCACGGGUGAGUAACACGUAUCCAACCUGCCGCUUACUCGGGGAUAGCCUUUCGAAAGAAAGAUUAAUACCCGAUGGUAUAAAGAGUUCGCAUGUUCUCUUUAUUAAAGAAUUUCGGUAAGCGAUGGGGAUGCGUUCCAUUAGAUAGUUGGCGGGGUAACGGCCCACCAAGUCUACGAUGGAUAGGGGUUCUGAGAGGAAGGUCCCCCACAUUGGAACUGAGACACGGUCCAAACUCCUACGGGAGGCAGCAGUGAGGAAUAUUGGUCAAUGGACGAGAGUCUGAACCAGCCAAGUAGCGUGAAGGAUGACUGCCCUAUGGGUUGUAAACUUCUUUUAUAAGGGAAUAAAGUGAGGGACGUGUCCCUUUUUGUAUGUACCUUAUGAAUAAGGAUCGGCUAACUCCGUGCCAGCAGCUGC